This 238-nucleotide ribosomal RNA is filed under the name uncultured bacterium. RNAcentral describes it as "partial 16S ribosomal RNA". It matches the Rfam family "Bacterial small subunit ribosomal RNA", at positions 118 to 347 of the family's 1533-position model. The record is from RNAcentral.
UGGGCAACCUGCCCUAGGGAGCGGGACAACCCGAGGAAACUCGGGCUAAUACCGCAUGAUUCGCCGAGCCUCAAGGCUCGGCGGGAAAUGGUAGCUUCGGCCUCCGCCCUAGGAUGGGCCCGCGGCGCAUUAGCUUGUUGGUGGGGUAACGGCUCACCAAGGCGACGAUGCGUAGCUGGUCUGGAGAGGACGAUCAGCCACACGUGGGACUGAGACACGGCCCAGACCUCCGUAGGAG